RNAcentral lists this long non-coding RNA (499 nucleotides) under Helianthus annuus (common sunflower). Its description in RNAcentral is "hypothetical non coding rna". The record is from RNAcentral. Lineage: Eukaryota; Viridiplantae; Streptophyta; Magnoliopsida; Asterales; Asteraceae.
UGGUUUUGAGUUUUCAACAUUUAAGGCUUUAAAGAUGGUGGAGUUUCUUCAGAUUUUUGAAUAGACUUUAUUGGUUAUGUCGAGGAAUGGUCUCCACGGGAAGAUACAACAACACGACAUGGAAAAGCAUCUUAUAAGAUGAACUUAAUAUUGAGAGAUCAAAGUUUGAUUCAAAAUCCUAUACUGUAGAUGAUGCAACACCGCUAUCCAGGAAUAAUGAAAGUAGAAAGAGUACUGGUGAUCUGAAACGCACACCGGAAGGUUCUUAUGAUGUAGACAAUUCAUAUUCAUUUUCUCCAUCAAAAAGUCGAAAAACCGAAACCAAAGAUGAAACCAAGACUCAAUCCAAAGACAAACUUUUGAUUCCUAAACUUGAAAAGUAGUUUUAUUACUUUCAAGCUGCAAAAGAUUUUGUUCUUUUUUUCCUUGUGUUCUUGUGAUUUUAUUUUCAAACAAAAGUAGUUGUUGGUUUUUUAUGAUCUGAUGACUAUAUUUUAUU